GAUCUGUUGUGGAUGUCCUCCAUGUUGCUGGAUCUAUGGUGGAGAGCUCAUUGUCGCUGGAUCCUUAGUGGGGAAGCUCAUCAUCAUCAACUCAUCUCUCGUGGACCUAAGAAUGGGAGCUUUUCACCUUUUCUUUCUUCCCUCCUCUUCCCCCUUCCAGUUUUAUUACAUACUCUUCCGCUCCACUGCUUUUGCCUCGAAACAGAAAGAAACCUCAUCGCCCCUUUUUUUUUCCUUGGAAUAGGAAGAUGCUAAACUCCCAUCAGAAACACGGAGGGUAGACAGGUAGAGAAACUAAAGUGAGUUGACCUAGUCCAACUGCAGCUGACCAAUAAUCGGAUCCAAGGUUUACCGGACCAGGAUCGGUACCGGUUCGAACCAGUACCGAACUGGAGACGCGCGUGCAGACGUGACCGCGUGCCAGCCUGCGUGGGUGCGCUACCCCGCGCGGGGAACUACACGGGCACGAUUUUCCCCUCGCACGUCCGCGUGCGAUCCCCCCCCCC
Molecule: long non-coding RNA, 506 nt
Filed under: Phoenix dactylifera (date palm)
Lineage: Eukaryota; Viridiplantae; Streptophyta; Magnoliopsida; Arecales; Arecaceae
Description: long non-coding RNA (PDAC_LNC020047)
Source: RNAcentral